RNAcentral lists this ribosomal RNA (468 nucleotides) under uncultured bacterium. RNAcentral's name for it is "partial 16S ribosomal RNA". It matches the Rfam family "Bacterial small subunit ribosomal RNA", at positions 28 to 507 of the family's 1533-position model. The record is from RNAcentral.
GACGAACGCUGGCGGCGUGCUUAACACAUGCCAGUCGAACGGAAAGGCCCUGCUUUUGUGGGGUGCUCGAGUGGCGAACGUGUGAGUAACACGUGAGUAACCUGCCCUUGACUUUGGGAUAACUUCAGGAAACUGGGGCUAAUACCGGAUAGGAGCGCCUGCUGCAUGGUGGGGGUUGGAAAGUUUCGGCGGUUGGGGAUGGACCCGCGGCUUAUCAGCUUGUUGGUGGGGUAGUGGCUUACCAAGGCUUUGACGGGUAGCCGGCCUGAGAGGGUGACCGGCCACAUUGGGACUGAGAUACGGCCCAGACUCCUACGCGAGGCAGCAGUGGGGAAUAUUGCCCAAUGGGCGGAAGCCUGAUGCAGCAACGCCGCGUGCGGGAUGACGGCCUUCGGGUUGUAAACCGCUUUCGCCUGUGACGAAGCGUUAGUGACGGUAAUGGGUCAAGAAGCACCGGCUAACUACGUG